CUGUAAUUGGAAUGAGUACACUUUAAAUCCUUUAACAAGGACCUAUUGGAGGGCAAGUCUGGUGCCAGCAGCCGCGGUAACUCCAGCUCCAAUAGCGUAUAUUAAAGUUGUUGCGGUUAAAACGUUCGUAGUUGAACUUGUGCUUCAUACGGGUAGUACAGCUAUAAUUGUAGUUUGUACUGUACCUUAUGUAUGCAAGCGUAUUACCGGUGGAGUUCUUACAUGUUUAUACUUUAUUUUCCUCCUAUUUAAACCUGCUUCAGUGCUCUUCAUCGAGUGUUGUUGUGGGCCGGUACAAUUACUUUGAACAAAUUAGAGUGCUUAAAGCAGGCUCCAAAUGCCUGAAUAUUUUGUGCAUGGAAUAAUGAAAUAAGACCUCUGUUCUACUUUCAUUGGUUUUUAGAUCAAGAGGUAAUGAUUAAUAGAAGCAGUUUGGGGGCAUUAGUAUUACGACGCGAGAGGUGAAAUUCUUGGACCGUCGUAAGACUAACUUAAGCGAAAGCAUUUGCCAAAGAUGUUUUCAUUAAUCAAGAACGAAAGUUAGAGGUUCGAAGGCGAUCAGAUACCGCCCUAGUUCUAACCAUAAACGAUGCCAGCUAGCAAUUGGGUGUAGCUACUAUCAUGGCUCUCUCAGUCGCUUCCCGGGAAACCAAAGCUUUUGGGCUCCGGGGGAAGUAUGGUUGCAAAGCUGAAACUUAAAGGAAUUGACGGAAGGGCACCACCAGGAGUGGA
This 732-nucleotide ribosomal RNA is filed under the name Winthemia sinuata. Its description in RNAcentral is "SSU rRNA". It matches the Rfam family "Eukaryotic small subunit ribosomal RNA", at positions 503 to 1180 of the family's 1831-position model. The record is from RNAcentral. Lineage: Eukaryota; Metazoa; Arthropoda; Insecta; Diptera; Tachinidae.